RNAcentral lists this ribosomal RNA (253 nucleotides) under uncultured bacterium. RNAcentral describes it as "partial 16S ribosomal RNA". It matches the Rfam family "Bacterial small subunit ribosomal RNA", at positions 524 to 776 of the family's 1533-position model. The record is from RNAcentral.
GACGAACCGUGCGAACGUUGUUCGGAAUCACUGGGCUUAAAGGGCGCGUAGGCGGGUUGUACAGUCAGACGUGAAAUUCCUGGGCUCAACCUGGGGGCUGCGUUUGAUACGUAUGGGCUUGAGUUCGGAAGAGGGUCGUGGAAUUCCCAGUGUAGAGGUGAAAUUCGUAGAUAUUGGGAAGAACACCGGUGGCGAAGGCGGCGACCUGGUCCGAUACUGACGCUGAGGCGCGAAAGCGUGGGGAGCAAACAGG